RNAcentral lists this ribosomal RNA (406 nucleotides) under uncultured bacterium. RNAcentral's name for it is "partial 16S ribosomal RNA". It matches the Rfam family "Bacterial small subunit ribosomal RNA", at positions 30 to 526 of the family's 1533-position model. The record is from RNAcentral.
AUUGAACGCUGGCGGCAUGCUUUACACAUGCAAGUCGAACGAGUGGCGGACGGGUGAGUAAUGUAUUGGAACGUACCUAGUGAUGGGGGAUAACUAAUCGAAAGAUUGGCUAAUACCGCAUAUUAUUCGAGCGGCCCAUCUCGGAUUAGCUAGUUGGUGGGGUAAAGGCCUACCAAGGCGACGAUCAGUAGCGGGUCUGAGAGGAUGAUCGGCAACACUGGGACUGAGACACGGCCCAGACUCCUACGGGAGGCAGCAGUGGGGAAUUUUGGACAAUGGGGGCAAGCCUGAGCCAGCCAUGCCGCGUGGCUGAAGAAGGCCUUCGGGUUGUAAAGGACUUUCGUUAGCGAAGCGGUACCUAAAGAAGAAGCACCGGCUAACUACGUGCCAGCAGCCGCGGUAAUAC